RNAcentral lists this ribosomal RNA (470 nucleotides) under uncultured bacterium. RNAcentral's name for it is "bacterial SSU rRNA". It matches the Rfam family "Bacterial small subunit ribosomal RNA", at positions 28 to 511 of the family's 1533-position model. The record is from RNAcentral.
GACGAACGCUGGCGGCGUGCCUAACACAUGCAAGUCGAACGGGGAUGGCGUAGCUUGCUAUGCAAACCUAGUGGCGGACUGGUGAGUAACGCGUGAGCAAUCUGCCGCAGAGAGUGGGAUAACACAUGGAAACGUGUGCUAAUACCACAUAAUGUAUAACCGUGGCAUCGCGGAUAUACCAAAGGAGCAAUCCGCUCUGUGAUGAGCUCGCGUCUGAUUAGGUAGUUGGUGAGGUAACGGCUCACCAAGCCUACGAUCAGUAGCCGGACUGAGAGGUUGACCGGCCACAUUGGGACUGAGACACGGCCCAAACUCCUACGGGAGGCAGCAGUGGGGAAUAUUGCACAAUGGGGGAAACCCUGAUGCAGCGACGCCGCGUGAGUGAAGAAGUAUUUCGGUAUGUAAAGCUCUAUCAGCAGGAAAGAAAAUGACGGUACCUGACUAAGAAGCCCCGGCUAACUACGUGCCAG